UCAAGAGCAAUAACGAAAAAUGUUUGUCAUAAACCGUUUUUCAUUAUUGCUCCUGACC
Molecule: microRNA precursor, 58 nt
Organism: Camelus dromedarius (Arabian camel)
Lineage: Eukaryota; Metazoa; Chordata; Mammalia; Artiodactyla; Camelidae
Gene: MIR335
Product: microRNA 335
Source: Ensembl